Molecule: ribosomal RNA, 497 nt
Filed under: uncultured bacterium
Lineage: Bacteria
Description: partial 16S ribosomal RNA
Rfam family: Bacterial small subunit ribosomal RNA
Source: RNAcentral
GAUGAACGCUGGCGGCGUGCCUAAUACAUGCAAGUCGAGCGAACAGACGAGGAGCUUGCUCCUCUGACGUUAGCGGCGGACGGGUGAGUAACACGUGGAUAACCUACCUAUAAGACUGGGAUAACUUCGGGAAACCGGAGCUAAUACCGGAUAAUAUAUUGAACCGCAUGGUUCAAUAGUGAAAGACGGUUUUGCUGUCACUUAUAGAUGGAUCCGCGCCGCAUUAGCUAGUUGGUAAGGUAACGGCUUACCAAGGCAACGAUGCGUAGCCGACCUGAGAGGGGGAUCGGCCGCCUUGGAGCUGAGACACGGUCCAGACUCCUACGGGAGGCAGCAGUAGGGAACCUUCCGCAAUGGGCGAAAGCUUGACGGAGCAACGCCGCGUGAGUGAUGAAGGUCUUCGGAUCGUAAAACUCUGUUAUUAGGGAAGAACAAAUGUGUAAGUAACUAUGCACGUCUUGACGGUACCUAAUCAGAAAGCCACGGCUAACUACGUG